Molecule: long non-coding RNA, 2982 nt
Filed under: Homo sapiens (human)
Lineage: Eukaryota; Metazoa; Chordata; Mammalia; Primates; Hominidae
Description: non-protein coding lnc-ZFP36L1-10:1
Source: RNAcentral
AUUCUGCCCAGCAGCUUCCUGAAAAUGUAGUCUUGCCACACCAGAGGAAGGAUAGACCCAUAGCUGUGGGGGACCCUGUGUCAGCAGGAUUUACUACCGGGUGAGCUGGGGCUGCAACAGCACGUGUGAGCAACUUAACAGGGCUGAUGGUUUUUCAACAAAUUUUUAAAAAUUAAAAAAAAUUUUAAAUUUUUGUCGGGACAUAGUAGGUGUGUGUAUUUAUGGGGCAUGAGAGAUAUUUUGAUACACGCAUACAAUGUGUAGUAAUUGCAUCAGGGUAAAUGGGGUAUCCAUCACUUAAAGCUUUUAUCCUUUGUGUUACAGACAAUCCAAUUAUACUCUUUUCGUUAUUUUUAAAUGUACAAUUCAAUCAUUAUUGACUAUAGUCACCUUGUUGUGCUAUCAAAUAUCAGAUCUUAUUCAUUCUUUUCGCUCUUGUCUCCCAGGCUGGAGUGCAGUGGUUUGAUCUUGGCUCACUGCAACCUCCGCCUCCCGGGUUCAGGAGAUUCUCCUGCCUCAGCCUCCCAAGUAGCUGGAAUUACAGGCGUGCACCAUCAUGCCUGGCUAAUUUUUUUGUAUAUUUAGUAGAGAUGGGGUUUCACCAUGUUGGCCAGGCUGGUCUCAAACUCCUGACCUCAGGUGAUCCGCCUGCCUCGGCCCCCCAAAAUGCUGGGAUUACAGGCGUGAGCCACUGUGCCUGGCCAAGAUCUUAUUCAUUCUUUCUAACAAUUUUUUUUGUAGUCAUUAACAAGGCUGAAGUUUUAAUGCAACUUACUUUUAUUGCACAUGCCAUGCAUUAUGCACCAAUCUGUGUUCUUCCAAUGCUACCGGGAACCUCUUACCUUUGUAUCAGUUCAUCGUUGUCCUCUUCUCCAACUGCCUGUGUACCUGGGUCAGGGGUCCUCUUUUAUCGAGUGGAACAAAUGUGCCCAGGUACAGAGAAAUGCUUUGUGCUAUUGUCCACCAGGCAGGGGCAUUUUCUUUUCUCAAAUAUUCUUGGUAAAUAGACGAGCAGUCUUUACUUGAACGCACUGGGUGUCAUAUGCCACAGCCCUAACUUGAAUGUGCUGGCUUGCUGCAAGUGGGUGAUUCCUUAGAAAUUUGCUCUGUUCCUAGACGGGAUCAAAAUGGUCCUUAGAUUCUUAAUGGGUCCCUAUCUGGAAUCCAUUUGAUCUUAAAAUAAAAUGGCCGUGGAAGAAAUUUUUCAUUAAUUCCUAGCUGAUUUGCAAUGAAAUUAAAUUUCUGAGUAUAAGGAAUAUUUUUUACGGAGUAAACUUAUAAGUGGGGUUGCUGGGUGUUUCCCAUUGAUUAGCCUAGUGUUUAAAAGUAUAAUGUCUUUAUUUUCUGGUUUCUUACUUUUUUGAGUUCCCUCACUUUUCUUCUAGAGUUCAUUAUGCAGGUCUGGAAAACAACAACCACCACCACCAGCAGGAGAAAAGCAGGGGUUAGUUUGGGGGGGGUUGAAAUGGGAAAAAUAGACAUUUCCAGCUCCCAACAUCUUAUUUCCUGAAUAUCUUCGGAGCCCAAGAAAGUGGCUCUGAGCUGCCUUUGCAGUCUUGAAGCUGCACUUGCGUUCCCACCAGCCCCCGGGCCUCUGGUUGCAUCCUGGGGGGCACUUCUGCACUCCCAGCCUCCUGGGUAUGGAUUGGGGUGAAGAUGUUGUGCAGUGAGGGGUGGGAGCCCCACACCCUAAUAGAGCCAAGCUGGCCACACUGCCUGUCUUUCCCAAUUAGUUCCCCAAAGGGAACAAAGCCUUAUUUCUUCCCUCCCUUAGUUCCCAGGCACUGGUUGGGGAAAAACAAUCCUUGGCAGCUCAGGGGUUAAAAAUAAAACACAGCGAGGGGGAAAACAAGCCGGGCAGCUGCAGCGGCUCCUCAGAGCCCACUCCAGGCUAAAUAGAGGCCCCAGCAACUCCUUGGAGACUUGAACCCUGGGCGAUGGAAUUUUCCCUUGCAUGAAGGCUAUUGUCCUCUGGAAAGGGCCAGGGCCAGAGGAGGGCCUGGGGAGCACUGAUCUCCCCAGCCCACAGCCAGGGAGCUCCUGAGAGCCCAAGGGCUCGGUCCCACCCAGCUGGGUUUGGGUGAAAAGGCAACGGGGGGUGCAGCCCACCCCUCCCCCUUUGGGAAAAAGGGAGGGCUUGGGCUUCCAAAGGCCUGGGUACCAGUUGUUGCCCCACUCCUCAGCCCAACCAGCUAGUCACGGAUGGAAUAAAAGGCUUGGUUCCCUUGGCAACUGAGGGGACUACAGUUUUUCACAGAGUACAAGAUGGGCUUGGGGAGGAAGGGAGGUGAAAGUGAGGGAUGGGGGGUGGUUUGCAGGAGGAGGGAAGAAGCGGGGAGGGGCAGCCUGUUUACCAGUGCUGCUUGAGUUUGAGUCUCAAGGGAACCUUUUGUAGGUUCUGGCCUGGGAAAUGCAGGAUACCCUGAGUGUGGGGGAUGCUCUUAACUGCUUCUCAGUUUUGAGUCACCAUUGGAAGUCUCUGGUCCAUGGUAGAAAUGUGAUUGUUGUAGGCCUCAUGCUAACCUCAUGGACAGCUCAGGGGAGUUAAGCAGAGCCUACCUUUAUAGGUGACUAGGCCUGGCCCUGUUUUAUAACUGGAGACCCCUGGAAGUGUUGAUAGAUGCUUGAGCCCAUAGAGAGCUAUUUGUGAAGCAGAGAUUAGAAUAGCAGGCGCCUGUCUCCUGGGUCUGAUCUCGAUGGACUAGACAAGGCUAUUUUUAAUAUCAAGCAGGAGAGCUGCUGAAAUAUAGACAAAGUGCAGAACCUGGGCUGAUUUUGUCUCAAGCACAAGACUUUGUGAGAGGAGCUUAAAAAUCUAUCCAUGUACUGAACAGAUACAUUUAGCCUCAGUGAAAACAAAUGAUAAGGGACGGGAGACUUUGUCCCAAAACUUUGGGAUGAGAGGUCCCCACAUGUUGUCACUAGCACGGAGGUGUACAGGAGACUUGGUAUAACCCUCUCCGAGGCUUUAGAUGGUCAGGG